CGGGGCCCGCACAAGCAGCGGAGCAUGUGGUUUAAUUCGAAGCAACGCGAAGAACCUUACCAGGUCUUGACAUCCAGUUAAAGCCGUAGAGAUACGGUGUGCCCUUCGGGCGAACUGAGACAGGUGGUGCAUGGUUGUCGUCAGCUCGUGUCGUGAGAUGUUGGGUUAAGUCCCGCAACGAGCGCAACCCUUGCUGAUAAUUACUAACGCGUGAUGGCGAGGACUUUAUUGGGACUGCCGGGGACAACUCGGAGGAAGGUGGGGACGACGUCAAAUCAUCAUGCCCCUUAUGACCUGGGCUACACACGUGCUACAAUGGCCGAGACAGAGAGAAGCGAGGGCGCAAGCCGGAGCGGAUCUGCCAAAAGCGGUCACAGUUCAGAUUGUGGGCUGCAACCCGCCCACAUGAAGCAGGAGUUGCUAGUAAUCGCGGAUCAGCAUGCCGCGGUGAAUACGUUCCCGGGCCUU
RNAcentral lists this ribosomal RNA (468 nucleotides) under uncultured Lachnospiraceae bacterium. RNAcentral describes it as "bacterial SSU rRNA". It matches the Rfam family "Bacterial small subunit ribosomal RNA", at positions 916 to 1381 of the family's 1533-position model. Lineage: Bacteria; Bacillati; Bacillota; Clostridia; Lachnospirales; Lachnospiraceae. The record is from RNAcentral.